CUAAACUCCAAAACUUAAAUAUAAAGUUUAACAUCAAAACUUUGAUUUAUAACCCAAAUACUAUACACCAAACUAUAAUCUCUAAACCUAAACCAUAUUCUCCAAAUCACAAAUAGCAAAUCUAGAAUUUCAAAUUUAAAUAUAAAUCUUAUAUUAUAAAACACUAAACCACAUACUCCAAAUACUACAAAGUAAUCUUAAACUUUAAAAUUAUUUUUUCAAUAAGUGAUCUCAAAUCUUAAAUCUAUAACCCAAAGUGCUAUACACCAAACCCUUAUACUCCAUAUACACUAAACUUAAAAUUUAAUUCUUCACACAACCAACUCUAAUAUUUCAUACUCUAAUAUCUAAUCCUAAACUUAAACUAAAAAUGGAAUAUCUUUGAAAUUAAAUUUUAAAUUUUAAUCUAAUUUCCAAAUACUAUAUAAUUCCAAACUUUAAACACCAAACUUAAAUCUAAUACUCCAAAUCAUAAAUCUAAACACAAAUGCUUGUUAAUGUAAAUGUAUAACUUAAUUGUUAUAAAAAAAUUAGUAUAAUAAUACAAUUACAGAUUUAUAAACAAUAUUAAAUGAAAUAUAUUGAAUUUUAAGUUAAUUGGUUAAUCUUUAAUAACCAUAUGUUGAUUUUAAUAUAAUUACAAAUGAAGAUUUGUUUCCCUUUGUCUUAUUACUCAAUAUUUUAAAAAUUAGGAUAAUAUUUUCUGACCAUUGAUUGUUUUGGAUCUGACGGUCUUUGUUUUGGAUCUGAUAGUCUGAGACUAAUCUUUUUUCAUUGGUUGAUAUCAAAUAGCAAGGAUGGUGUCAGAUUCAUAACAACCAUUGAUUAAAGUUUAAUCAAAUGGGGGAGAUUUAAUCUCAACUUCUAUCUUUUGUUUUGUUCUUCUACCCACCACAAAGAAACAACCAACUUGUUUUUUGUUUUGUUUUGAACGACACAUCUAACUUGUUCUCUUCAAUAAUUGUCAGACGACGAAAAAAAACUCGUUCGCUUCACUAUAUUUUGUUCGUGUGUCAGACUUCACUCUGCUCAACCCACGGCGUCUCCUCCCUUUCUCAACCCACGGCGUCUUCUCCGUUGCUCAACCCAUGGCGUCUCCUCCCUUCUCAACCCACGGCGUUUAGACAGCGAAGAACCCACCGUCGCUUGACAGAGAAGAACCCACCGGCGCUUGUCAAGAAGAUCCCACCGGCGCUUGUCAAGAAGAACCCACAGGCGUUUCACAGAGCGUGACUGGAGACGGAGAAGGCAGAGAGCGUAACCGGAGACGGAGAAGACAGCGGAGGAGGAGGAAAAUGACGGUGGCAAAUCUCGAGCUUCUCUCCCUCAGUCUCGGAAACAAAGAAGACAGAGGAAAAGGACGACGGCGGUGGCAAAUCCCGAGCUUCUCUCCUUUGCGUCUCCGGUUAUGCUCUCCGACGUUGCCGCUGCGUUUCGCCUCUGCUCACCUCGCCGGCUAUAAUGGAGAAGACAACACGAUGGGCGGCUGAGAGAAGAUUUGGUCUAGUUUUUUUUUAAUGGGUGCAUUUGCCAAAUGACCAAAUUUGAAAUUAAGUGCAGAACAUUUUGACAUAAUAAAGUCCAUAACAAUUAUGUUUAUCAGCUAUUACCUCUUUUAUUUUUUUUUUAAGUUGCCAGUAAUAGUAAUAGAGAGAGAAACUAAUGACAUCAAUAUUUUAACACCCCACAAUUAAUUAUCACACGUAAUACAAUCAACACCACACUUUUGUUUAACACAUAAAUAUAUAUCUGAUUUCUCUAUAUUAUAUCACUAAAAUUAAUAGGAUUCAAAAUCCACUCACGUCUAGUAAAUACUAAAUUUUACUCUAAACCUCAACUCCUAAAUACUAAACCCUAAACUUUAAACAUCACAUUUCCAUCUAAAUACUAAACCCUAAAUCUUAAUUACUGAACUCUAAACCCAAAUAUAAACUUUAAACCCAAUUAUCAAAAUAUGAAAAUAGUAUAUAAUAUUAUGUAAUAUUAAACUAAAUCCAAACAAAAUUCUUCAAUGCUAAACUCAGACCUAACUUUUGAAUACUAAACCCAAAAAUGCUAUCACUAAACCCAAACCUAAACUCCCACCUUCCAAAUACUAAACUCUAAAUCCUAAUCACUAAACCCUAAACCCUAAACCCAAGUAUAGACUUUAAACCCAAAUAGAAUGGAACAAAAUACAUAGUAUAGUACAAAUUGGUGAGCAAAAAAGAACACUCUUUAUUAAUCGUCGAAUGGGACAUAUCACUAAACUCAAACCUCAACCCCCACCUUCCAAAUACUAAACCCUAAAUCUUAAUCAUUAAACCCUAAACCUAAGUAUAAACUCUAAACCCAAAUAGUAUAGAACAAAAUACAUAGUAUAGUACAUAUAGUUGUAAACAAGAAAUUGAUAAAUAAUGAAUUUAUCAAACAAUCGAUGGUACAAUAAUAAAACAACCGUAG
This 2442-nucleotide long non-coding RNA is filed under the name Brassica napus (rape). RNAcentral's name for it is "long non-coding RNA (BNAP_LNC009440)". Lineage: Eukaryota; Viridiplantae; Streptophyta; Magnoliopsida; Brassicales; Brassicaceae. The record is from RNAcentral.